This 291-nucleotide ribosomal RNA is filed under the name uncultured Sediminibacterium sp. RNAcentral's name for it is "partial 16S ribosomal RNA". It matches the Rfam family "Bacterial small subunit ribosomal RNA", at positions 505 to 796 of the family's 1533-position model. Lineage: Bacteria; Pseudomonadati; Bacteroidota; Chitinophagia; Chitinophagales; Chitinophagaceae. The record is from RNAcentral.
GUGUCAGCAGCCGCGGUAAUACGGAGGGUGCAAGCGUUAUCCGGAUUCACUGGGUUUAAAGGGUGCGUAGGCGGGUAGGUAAGUCAGUGGUGAAAUCCUGGAGCUCGACUCCAGAACUGCCAUUGAUACUAUUUAUCUUGAAUAUUGUGGAGGUAAGCGGAAUAUGUCAUGUAGCGGUGAAAUGCUUAGAUAUGACAUAGAACACCCAUUGCGAAGGCAGCUUACUACGCAUAUAUUGUCGCUGAGGCACGAAAGCGUGGGGAUCAAACAGGAUUAGAAACCCCGGUGUCC